Molecule: ribosomal RNA, 399 nt
Filed under: uncultured bacterium
Lineage: Bacteria
Description: bacterial SSU rRNA
Rfam family: Bacterial small subunit ribosomal RNA
Source: RNAcentral
GGAAUAUUGCACAAUGGGGGAAACCCUGAUGCAGCGACGCCGCGUGAGUGAUGAAGUAUUUCGGUACGUAAAGCUCUAUCAGCAGGAAAGAAAAUGACGGUACCUGACUAAGAAGCCCCGGCUAACUACGUGCCAGCAGCCGCGGUAAUACGUAGGGGGCAAGCGUUAUCCGGAUUUACUGGGUGUAAAGGGAGCGUAGACGGCGAGACAAGUCUGAAGUGAAAGGCGGGGGCCCAACCCCCGGACUGCUUUGGAAACUGCCUUGCUGGAGUGGAGGUGGGGUAUGCGGAAUUCCUAGUGUAGCGGUGAAAUGCGUAGAUAUUAGGAGGAACACCGGCGGCGAAGGCGGCAUACUGGACUGUAACUGACGUUGAGGCUCGAAGGCGUGGGGAGCAAACA